Molecule: transfer RNA, 72 nt
Organism: Ovis aries (sheep)
Lineage: Eukaryota; Metazoa; Chordata; Mammalia; Artiodactyla; Bovidae
Rfam family: tRNA
About the family: Transfer RNA (tRNA) molecules are approximately 80 nucleotides in length. Their secondary structure includes four short double-helical elements and three loops (D, anti-codon, and T loops).
Source: Rfam
UCCCUGGUGGCUCAGAGGGUAAAGCGUCUGCCUGCAAUGCAGGAGACCUGGGUUCGAUCCCUGGGUUAGGAA